RNAcentral lists this ribosomal RNA (450 nucleotides) under uncultured bacterium. RNAcentral describes it as "partial 16S ribosomal RNA". It matches the Rfam family "Bacterial small subunit ribosomal RNA", at positions 354 to 796 of the family's 1533-position model. The record is from RNAcentral.
GUGGGGAAUAUUGGACAAUGGGCGAAAGCCUGAUCCAGCCAUGCCGCGUGUGUGAAGAAGGUCUUCGGAUUGUAAAGCACUUUAAGUUGGGAGGAAGGGCAGUAAGUUAAUACCUUGCUGUUUUGACGUUACCGACAGAAUAAGCACCGGCUAACUUCGUGCCAGCAGCCGCGGUAAUACGAAGGGUGCAAGCGUUAAUCGGAAUUACUGGGCGUAAAGCGCGCGUAGGUGGUUUUGUAAGCUGGAGGUGAAAUCCCCGGGCUCAACCUGGGAACUGCCUCCAAAACUGCGUGACUAGAGUACGGUAGAGGGUAGUGGGAUUUCCUGUGUAGCGGUGAAAUGCGUAGAUAUAGGAAGGAACACCAGUGGCGAAGGCGACUACCUGGACUGAUACUGACACUGAGGUGCGAAAGCGUGGGGAGCAAACAGGAUUAGAUACCCGAGUAGUCC